GGACGAACGCUGGCGGCGUGCUUAACACAUGCAAGUCGAACGGAAAGGCCCUGCUUUUGUGGGGUGCUCGAGUGGCGAACGGGUGAGUAACACGUGAGUAACCUGCCCUUGACUUUGGGAUAACUUCAGGAAACUGGGGCUAAUACCGGAUAGGAGCUCCUGCUGCAUGGUGGGGGUUGGAAAGUUUCGGCGGUUGGGGAUGGACUCGCGGCUUAUCAGCUUGUUGGUGGGGUAGUGGCUUACCAAGGCUUUGACGGGUAGCCGGCCUGAGAGGGUGACCGGCCACAUUGGGACCGAGAUACGGCCCAGACUCCUACGGGAGGCAGCAGUGGGGAAUAUUGCACAAUGGGCGGAAGCCUGAUGCAGCAACGCCGCGUGCGGGAUGACGGCCUUCGGGUUGUAAACCGCUUUCGCCUGUGACGAAGCGUGAGUGACGGUAAUGGGUAAAGAAGCACCGGCUAACUACGUG
Molecule: ribosomal RNA, 469 nt
Filed under: uncultured bacterium
Lineage: Bacteria
Description: partial 16S ribosomal RNA
Rfam family: Bacterial small subunit ribosomal RNA
Source: RNAcentral